GUGACAGGUCUGUACUGAUCUCUUUAUGAAAUAGCCGUUCCUACCAUUGAAAUGAAUAUAACUGGAACGCUACCCUCAGAUAAACUGCUUAUCUUUUUCUUGAAGGUCAUGGUGUUAGGACCCGCGUGUUUAUGCCUCGCGAUUCUCUCGUUCAGGGAGCGAACAUGCCGCAAUUAUUGGAAAAAGUAAGACAAAAAAAGCUAAAAGUAAAGUCUACUAGGACGUUUUACAUGAAUAAAUGUACGAUAAAAAGCUUUGCGCGCUGAUAAAAAGGCUUGUUUUUUUGUAAAUUUUAAGUCAGUUUUCAAGAGUAAAUAUUCAUGUUGACGGAUUGACUGUGCUCUUCGCAUGCGUGAAAAGACUGGGACUAGCCUUCAAGUUUCGCUUUAAAUUUCCUGUUGGAGGUAGCGUUCCAGUUAUAUUCAUUUCUCUGAUUCCUGCUGUUCAAUUACAUUUCGAA
Non-coding RNA from Paramuricea clavata, 460 nucleotides. Lineage: Eukaryota; Metazoa; Cnidaria; Anthozoa; Malacalcyonacea; Plexauridae. The record is from the annotation of a GenBank genome assembly.